Cicer arietinum (chickpea) is the source of this 1195-nucleotide long non-coding RNA. RefSeq lists it as uncharacterized. The record is from RefSeq and is a predicted model, not a curated record. NCBI's taxonomy places the organism in Eukaryota, Viridiplantae, Streptophyta, Magnoliopsida, Fabales, Fabaceae.
GCAGACCAACUUAACCUUCCAUCUCAACUCAUAAAUCAUAAUAAAUAUACACUCACUUCCUUUCUUAGUGAUGAUAAUUCAAAAAUAUGCCUUUCUCCUAUUGUCACCAUUCUCAAAAUUUAAUGUGUCCUGCCCACUUCCUAUUCUUUGCAGGGCCGUUGGUAUAUUUAAUUAAAUGCUUUGCCACAAAAUUUAAGACUCUGCAUUUCUCUGUCUCUCCCUCUUCCUAUUAAAUUUUAAGAAUCUCAUUUUACACCACAUAGUCACUCCUUCACCACUCUUGUUAUGCUUUUCUUGGUUCUUAUUCUAUGUACUAUGUUUUUUAUGGUGAUGGAUUAAUUGAAGUUGAGUUACUUAUAUUAUACAAACCGCAUUGGUAAGCUAUUCUUGUUAAAUACUAUUAUAGACUCACAUUGAUUAAUAACAAAUGAUUUUUUUUAUUGUUAUCUUCUUCAUAAAGUGGAGGAACAUGAAGGUUUAUAUUUACAGUUGAGGUUGGGAACUUGAUAUGAGAUAUUGGUGCGGUUCAAUCAGAAGACAAUGCUUUUGUAAUCUAAAAAAGCUUUGUGUUAUUUGAUUGAGCCGUGCCAAUAUCACGUGUUGAUUGAUAUAAGGAAAGACAAACACAAUUUCUUUCUCCUCUAGCGAAAUUCGCAACAAAGAUUUGAUCUUCAUCCAGCAAAGAGUGAUGAUCAAUUUCUUCUAUAGGUGUGGGAUCACACAACUAAUGAAUUGGUAUGGUAGGUAGGAAAUUUGUUGUACCAUCUUUUUAUUAUUUAUGAAGAUGGUAGGGAACUUAAUUCAUUAAGGUGGAUCAAGAGGCCCAUAUAUAUAAGUCUUUCUUUUAUGCCACUUUGCUUGUAUUUAAAGGUUCUUAGUUGAAAAUGUCCCAUCUUUUUUUCUUGCUUUUAUGUUUAAUUAAAGCACUUUCCAGACAAAUAUAUAUGCAUUAAUUUUGGAAAUAUUUCCUAUUAGAAAAUGAAUUCACCGAAUUUUUAAAUCAUAACUCAACUGAUAAUUAUAAAAAAACUGAAAUUGUUAUUUUAAAUAUAUAUUAUUAUAUUGAACACUAUAUUUUAAAUUUUAAAUUUUAUUUUUAAAAAAUAGCCUAGACGGUAUGUAGUUAUAAGAUUUCUUAAUUAAUCAUUUGUAGAACUUUUGUUUUUUGGAUGAAUUUGUUCACAUUCAAUUACUU